Molecule: ribosomal RNA, 367 nt
Filed under: uncultured bacterium
Lineage: Bacteria
Description: partial 16S ribosomal RNA
Rfam family: Bacterial small subunit ribosomal RNA
Source: RNAcentral
GGAGGAWSCAAGCGUUGUCCGGAUUURGUGGGUWUAAAGGGUGSGUAGGCGGAUMWUUAAGUCAGUGGUGAAAKCSSGCAGCUCAACUGUAGAACUGCCAUUGAAACUGAWUAUCUUGAAUUAGGUURAAGUAGGCGGAAUGUAUCAUGUAGCGGUGAAAUGCUUAGAUAUGAUACAGAACACCGAUAGCGAAGGCAGCUUGCUGAACCUAUAUUGACGCUGAGGCACGAAAGCGUGGGGAGCRAACAGGAUUAGAUACCCUGGUAGUCCACGCCCUAAACGWUGAUUACUCGUUGUUGGCGAUAUACAGUCAGCGACCAAGCUAAAGCGUUAAGUAAUCCACCUGGGAAGUACGACCGCAAGGUUG